This 726-nucleotide ribosomal RNA is filed under the name Rhodococcus wratislaviensis. RNAcentral's name for it is "bacterial SSU rRNA". It matches the Rfam family "Bacterial small subunit ribosomal RNA", at positions 83 to 823 of the family's 1533-position model. Lineage: Bacteria; Bacillati; Actinomycetota; Actinomycetes; Mycobacteriales; Nocardiaceae. The record is from RNAcentral.
CGGGGUACACGAGCGGCGAACGGGUGAGUAACACGUGGGUGAUCUGCCCUGCACUUCGGGAUAAGCCUGGGAAACUGGGUCUAAUACCGGAUAUGACCUUCGGCUGCAUGGCUGAGGGUGGAAAGGUUUACUGGUGCAGGAUGGGCCCGCGGCCUAUCAGCUUGUUGGUGGGGUAAUGGCCUACCAAGGCGACGACGGGUAGCCGACCUGAGAGGGUGACCGGCCACACUGGGACUGAGACACGGCCCAGACUCCUACGGGAGGCAGCAGUGGGGAAUAUUGCACAAUGGGCGAAAGCCUGAUGCAGCGACGCCGCGUGAGGGAUGACGGCCUUCGGGUUGUAAACCUCUUUCAGCAGGGACGAAGCGAAAGUGACGGUACCUGCAGAAGAAGCACCGGCCAACUACGUGCCAGCAGCCGCGGUAAUACGUAGGGUGCAAGCGUUGUCCGGAAUUACUGGGCGUAAAGAGCUCGUAGGCGGUUUGUCGCGUCGUCUGUGAAAACUCGAGGCUCAACCUCGAGCUUGCAGGCGAUACGGGCAGACUUGAGUACUGCAGGGGAGACUGGAAUUCCUGGUGUAGCGGUGAAAUGCGCAGAUAUCAGGAGGAACACCGGUGGCGAAGGCGGGUCUCUGGGCAGUAACUGACGCUGAGGAGCGAAAGCGUGGGUAGCGAACAGGAUUAGAUACCCUGGUAGUCCACGCCGUAAACGGUGGGCGCUAGGUGU